Molecule: long non-coding RNA, 746 nt
Organism: Tachysurus fulvidraco (yellow catfish)
Lineage: Eukaryota; Metazoa; Chordata; Actinopteri; Siluriformes; Bagridae
Exons: 4
Source: RefSeq, a predicted model, not a curated record
CAGUAGGAGCCUGCCUGGAUUAGACAAAUACAAGACAAAUAACAGGGGCAGCAAGACAGAAAAGCUCCCAGUCUCUCAGGUCCACGGAGGCCAAAGUGUGGGGAGGCGCAGCAAAAUGAAGCAACAAGAAUCAUUUGCAUGUGGAGGAUGCACCCAGGACUAGUGUAGAGUUUUAUUUGACAAGAUCUUCAGCACAAAGAAAGAGAGGAGCCGAGAAGAAAUGAGGAGAAACAAGGGAAGAGGAACGGGUGCUUGGUAAACACUUUUUAUAGUGGGUGAGUGAAAGGGGCAAAGAUGACUGGAUUAAUACAUUAGAAAUGAACGACGUGAAAUAUUUUUCUUCGUCAUCUUCUGGUGAUACACAAAUUAAAUAUUAAUAUAGAUAAUAUGAGAUAUUUAUUAACUUGGUUUCAUAUUCAUGUCUAGCUGACUAAGAGGACACUGUAAUAGUUAAAAUAUUUUGCCAAUGAUAUUCAUUACGGGUAUGUAUCGGAACUGCCGAAUCAUCACGUUGACCUUCAUUAAUCAUCUGAAUUAUUCAUAGGUCUAUCUGUGAAUAAGAAUUGAGGUUCAGCUGGCGAACUCUAUCUAUCUCUAUCUAAACACUUCCCAGGUAACAUAUUACCUGUUAACAGGUAACGUAUUAAACUCCUGUAGUCAGGUGAAUCGCUCCCACACAAAGACAUGAGAAACUCUCUCAGGUAUGAAACAUUUGCUCAGGUGUUGCGUUUUCCCACUUUCUGUUC